Molecule: long non-coding RNA, 655 nt
Filed under: Sinocyclocheilus grahami
Lineage: Eukaryota; Metazoa; Chordata; Actinopteri; Cypriniformes; Cyprinidae
Description: lncRNA (ENSSGRG00000053775.1)
Source: RNAcentral
CUCUUCAAAGCUGAACUGUCAUUGUCCCAGUAUAACAGCUUUCUGAAGGAGUGGCCUCCAAUCUCUAAAUUGUUUCUGCUCCAUGUGAAAGGUUUAUCUCCUGACGCUGUUCCUCUAGUUAGUCCAUCUUGUGUUCAGUGAGAGAUCCCACAAGUGCUUGUGACAUUCUCAGCACCAGCGUCUAUAAAAACCCCCUGUUGGUGCGGUUGUCAUCUUUUCUUGCUGUCCUGCUGCUGUUAUGGCCCUGCUGAGAGUGUCUUCCUACCGUAAGCUGUUUGAGGAGGAGCAUUGGAGCCAGGCUGCAGGACGCUGUGGAGUCCAGGCCCGCUUCACUGCCAGGGGUGGAGCUUCAGUGCGUGAAUGUCCCGAGCUGGAUUUUGCUGCAGCUCGUGCCCUAAACAUGGAGGGUGUGGCACGAUUUGUCAAUGAACGCUCUGUCAUUGCUGCCCUCAACGAUCGCCUGGCCGGCCUCAUCGACGUGGUUCGGUGUCUAGAAGAGGAGAAUGAAUCUCUGGAGGCUGAGAUUAUUGAGCUGGAGGAAAUACUGGAGUCAGAGCAGAUCUCCACCACCACCAUCAGCAUCAGCGGUCCUGUGGACUACAGUCUGGAGGCUGUGAUAGAGAGGCUACGGAAAGAGAAGGUACCUCUCAGAAAC